UGACCUAUGCAGAUAGAUGAAUGAAAAGUUUGAAGUGCUUUGAGAUCUUUAUUGGGUGCACUCCAACAACCGACACUACGAAAGAGGAUCAAUCAUUCUUUUGCAUAAAAGAUACUAUCCGAAACCUCUUUUUUUAUCAACACAACACUAGCGAACAUAUUCCAAUUAGGAGAAAACCUUUAUAGAGUCUCAUCAAACAAUUCAUGUAUGGAGUUGCUAAGGAGAUCAACCCUAAGAAACGCACGUCUAUCUUUUCUUGCAAGGAGAUCAACCCUAGAAGCUUCUCUUUGUUCUUUCUGAUUGCGACUCUUGCAAGGAGAUGGGCAAUUACAUUGCUUCAUACUGGCCAGGCACGGCUUAGAAAUGCAUGUGAAAUCAUGUCAAACUGUGUCAAACUGAAGUGCACCUGAACCAUGUC
RNAcentral lists this long non-coding RNA (418 nucleotides) under Elaeis guineensis (African oil palm). RNAcentral describes it as "long non-coding RNA (EGUI_LNC019826)". Lineage: Eukaryota; Viridiplantae; Streptophyta; Magnoliopsida; Arecales; Arecaceae. The record is from RNAcentral.